This 517-nucleotide ribosomal RNA is filed under the name marine sediment bacterium ISA-3232. RNAcentral's name for it is "bacterial SSU rRNA". It matches the Rfam family "Bacterial small subunit ribosomal RNA", at positions 28 to 526 of the family's 1533-position model. The record is from RNAcentral.
GACGAACGCUGGGCGGCGUGCCUAAUACAUGCAAGUCGAGCCGGACAGAAGGGAGCUUGCUCCCGGAUGUUAGCGGCGGACGGGUGAGUAACACGUGGGUAACCUGCCUGUAAGACUGGGAUAACUCCGGGAAACCGGAGCUAAUACCGGAUAGUUCCUUGAACCGCAUGGUUCAAGGAUGAAAGACGGUUUCGGCUGUCACUUACAGAUGGACCCGCGGCGCAUUAGCUAGUUGGUGAGGUAACGGCUCACCAAGGCGACGAUGCGUAGCCGACCUGAGAGGGUGAUCGGCCACACUGGGACUGAGACACGGCCCAGACUCCUACGGGAGGCAGCAGUAGGGAAUCUUCCGCAAUGGACGAAAGUCUGACGGAGCAACGCCGCGUGAGUGAUGAAGGUUUUCGGAUCGUAAAGCUCUGUUGUUAGGGAAGAACAAGUGCAAGAGUAACUGCUUGCACCUUGACGGUACCUAACCAGAAAGCCACGGCUAACUACGUGCCAGCAGCCGCGGUAAUAC